Molecule: ribosomal RNA, 470 nt
Filed under: uncultured bacterium
Lineage: Bacteria
Description: bacterial SSU rRNA
Rfam family: Bacterial small subunit ribosomal RNA
Source: RNAcentral
AUUGAACGCUGGCGGCAUGCCUUACACAUGCAAGUCGAACGGUAACAGGUCUUCGGAUGCUGACGAGUGGCGGACGAGUGAGUAACGCGUGGGAAUCUACCUUGUAGUGGGGGAUAAGCCAGGGAAACUUGGACUAAUACCGCAUACGCCCUAAGGGGAAAGGCGCAAGUCGCUAUAAGAUGAGCCCGCGUCUGAUUAGGUAGUUGGUGGGGUAAAGGCCUACCAAGCCGACGAUCAGUAGCUGGUCUGAGAGGAUGAUCAGCCACGUCGGGACUGAGACACGGCCCGGACUCCUACGGGAGGCAGCAGUCGGGAAUAUUGGACAAUGGGGGAAACCCUGAUCCAGCAAUACCGCGUGUGUGAAGAAGGCCUGCGGGGUUGUAAAGCACUUUUAUCGGGAGCGAAAAGCGCAGGGCUAAUACCCAUGCGUCAUGACGGUACCUGAUGAAUAAGCACCGGCUAACUUCGUG